This is a long non-coding RNA of Gorilla gorilla gorilla (western lowland gorilla), 329 nucleotides long. RefSeq lists it as uncharacterized. NCBI's taxonomy places the organism in Eukaryota, Metazoa, Chordata, Mammalia, Primates, Hominidae. The record is from RefSeq and is a predicted model, not a curated record. The transcript is spliced from 3 exons.
AUUCUUCAAAAUACAAUGGAGGAAGAAUGAGGAUUUGCUCUGAAUCUGGAUGAUAUAAGAAGACAGAGCACCAGGAUAAAAGUCAGGAAAUGUGGAUGCCAGUCUCCAUUCCAAGGUCCUCCUGGGGAAACAACAGGUCCAUAUUUCUGACUGUGCAGAAAUUGGAGGCCCACACCAAGCAGUGUGACAUACUUGAAUGAGAAAAUAAUGGAGUGAUCCCAGGGACUCAGGAGUCAUGGCAGAGGAAUUUAUUGCUUAGCAACCCAGACAAAUGUCAAGAGUCUUACCAAAUGCAGAUGAUGCUCUGGGGAAGAGACUGCUCUCACUAG